This 615-nucleotide unclassified non-coding RNA is filed under the name Hevea brasiliensis (rubber tree). The record is from RNAcentral. Lineage: Eukaryota; Viridiplantae; Streptophyta; Magnoliopsida; Malpighiales; Euphorbiaceae.
GAUUAAAAUCAAAUAGCAUUUGUUUCCAUGCAUCAAUCCUUGGUGAUGUUGCAAUGCUGCUAUCUGGUUUUCAGCAAGCUCUAAAACGACACAUUCUUGAGAAAAAGGUUGAUGCUAAUGCUUCAACUGUUCUGAAUAACACCACUGAAUAUCAUCCUGUGUCAGGCAUUGAUAAAAAAGAAAAUAAAACUGAAGUUGCAAUUCCCGCCAUAGAGCACAAUAUGGAGUCAACUGGUAAUUUUAAUAAGGAAACACAUAGAUUGACUACAGAAAUUUCAAGCCUGAUGCAGAAAACACAUCAUGCAGAUUGCAUAGUAAAUCUCAAAUCAAGGUGUAAUGGAUCUAUAGACCUAUGCAAGCCAGCCUGUGGACGUCAUGAAGUUGCUGAUGCUGAAUUGGCUGGAAAUCUCAAUUGCACGGUUACAAGUUCUUUUAAGAUUCAUGAAAUGGGGAAAGUAAUUUCUGCAGCUGAUCAACACAAUGAGUUAACAGCUAGUGGAAUAUCAGGAGAAGCGGGUAAUAUUGAGAAGGCAUGUAAUGCUGACAAACGUCAAGCAAGUGGAUACCCUUCCCUGGAAUUGGAUGAGUGUAAUUAUGCUUCAUCUGAGAGUGCUG